GUACCCUCAAGCUUUGCUUGGUGUUGGGCGUCUUGUCUCUAGCUUUGCUGGAGACUCGCCUUAAAGUAAUUGGCAGCCGGCCUACUGGUUUCGGAGCGCAGCACAAGUCGCAAUUGUUACUACUGUAGUACUGUCCACAAGUCAUUUUAUCAC
This 153-nucleotide unclassified non-coding RNA is filed under the name Alternaria alternata. Its description in RNAcentral is "sequence contains ITS2". Lineage: Eukaryota; Fungi; Ascomycota; Dothideomycetes; Pleosporales; Pleosporaceae. The record is from RNAcentral.